CUCGUUGCACAUUGUUUAGUACGU
This 24-nucleotide non-coding RNA is filed under the name Arabidopsis thaliana (thale cress). The record is from RNAcentral. Lineage: Eukaryota; Viridiplantae; Streptophyta; Magnoliopsida; Brassicales; Brassicaceae.